UNGUGGCAGAGUGAUGGCUUGUUGCAGCC
Molecule: non-coding RNA, 29 nt
Filed under: Mus musculus (house mouse)
Lineage: Eukaryota; Metazoa; Chordata; Mammalia; Rodentia; Muridae
Source: RNAcentral